GGUCGUGUGGCGCAAUUGGUUAGCGCGUCUGACUGUUAAUCAGGAGGUUCGAAGUUCGAGUCUUCGCAUGACCG
Molecule: non-coding RNA, 74 nt
Organism: Peziza echinospora
Lineage: Eukaryota; Fungi; Ascomycota; Pezizomycetes; Pezizales; Pezizaceae
Source: the annotation of a GenBank genome assembly